CAGUCGCCGCGGUAAUACGAAGGGUGCAAGCGUUAAUCGGAAUUACUGGGCGUAAGGCGUGCGUAGGCGGUGAGUUAAGUCUGCUGUGAAAUCCCCGGGCUCAACCUGGGAAUGGCAGUGGAUACUGGCUCGCUAGAGUGUGUCAGAGGAUGGUGGAAUUCCCGGUGUAGCGGUGAAAUGCGUAGAGAUCGGGAGGAACAUCAGUGGCGAAGGCGGCCAUCUGGGACAACACUGACGCUGAGGCACGAAAGCGUGGGGAGCAAACAGGAUUAGAUACCCCAGUAGUCCCUGUCUCUUAUAA
This 301-nucleotide ribosomal RNA is filed under the name uncultured bacterium. Its description in RNAcentral is "partial 16S ribosomal RNA". It matches the Rfam family "Bacterial small subunit ribosomal RNA", at positions 509 to 809 of the family's 1533-position model. The record is from RNAcentral.